CCAUGAUUUGCUACUCGCUAGUCAGUUGCCGGUGGUAUUAAGGGGACAGCCUUAUUCUGGAGAGCAUUUGAUUGGACAAAAAAUCUAUGUAGUGCAGAUACAUGCUGAUAUACAGUAUGGAGGAAAUGUGAUGUGAGGUUUGAGCCAGUGACCACAUGCUAACUGUUUGUGGAAAACCACGUGAAGUGAAGAGCCUGGCAAGUCACCGAAAGCUUGGAUGAUGUCAGGAUGACAGGUUUUUAGUACAGUGACUCACUACUGAUUUUCAGUCAAAGGACGUUAGAAGCCAAAACUUCUCUGGGCCUGUAACCACCAGACACACCUUGGAAUACACAUGCAUAAAUUCAUAAACAGAG
Molecule: long non-coding RNA, 356 nt
Organism: Myxocyprinus asiaticus (Chinese sucker)
Lineage: Eukaryota; Metazoa; Chordata; Actinopteri; Cypriniformes; Catostomidae
Exons: 3
Source: RefSeq, a predicted model, not a curated record